CAAUAGCGUAUAUUAAAGUUGUUGCGGUUAGAAAGCUCGUAGUUGGAUUUCUGUUGGGAACGACCGGUCCGCCCAUUGGGUGUGUAUCUGGCUUGUUCUCGGCAUCUUCUUGGUGAACGUUGCUGCACUUGACUGUGUGGAGCGCUACCCAGGACUUUUACUUUGAGGAAAUUAGAGUGUUUCAAGCAGGCAUAUGCCUUGAAUACAUUAGCAUGGAAUAAUAAGAUAGGACCUCGGUUCUAUUUUGUUGGUUUCUAGAGCUGAGGUAAUGAUUAAUAGGGAUAGUUGGGGGCAUUCGUAUUUAACUGUCAGAGGUGAAAUUCUUGGAUCUGUUAAAGACGGACUACUGCGAAAGCAUUUGCCAAGGAUGUUUUCAUUGA
Molecule: ribosomal RNA, 380 nt
Filed under: uncultured eukaryote
Lineage: Eukaryota
Description: partial 18S ribosomal RNA
Rfam family: Eukaryotic small subunit ribosomal RNA
Source: RNAcentral